This 739-nucleotide ribosomal RNA is filed under the name uncultured Coprothermobacter sp. Its description in RNAcentral is "bacterial SSU rRNA". It matches the Rfam family "Bacterial small subunit ribosomal RNA", at positions 28 to 774 of the family's 1533-position model. Lineage: Bacteria; Pseudomonadati; Coprothermobacterota; Coprothermobacteria; Coprothermobacterales; Coprothermobacteraceae. The record is from RNAcentral.
GACGAACGCUGGCGGCGUGCCUAAUGCAUGCAAGUCGAGCGAGCUACAGUCUUCGGACUGUAGCUUAGCGGCGAACGGGUGAGUAACACGUAGGUGAUCUACCCUUCAGAGGAGGACAACCUCAGGAAACUGAGGCUAAACCUUCAUACGUUCACUGGUAGGGAUACUGGUGAAGAAAGAGUUACCGUCAAGGUAGCUGCUGAAGGAUGAGCCUGCGGCCCAUCAGGUAGUUGGUGAGGUAACGGCUCACCAAGCCGAAGACGGGUAACCGGUCUGAGAGGAUGUCCGGUCACACUGGGACUGAGACACGGCCCAGACUCCUACGGGAGGCAGCAGCAGGGAAUCUUGGGCAAUGGGCGAAAGCCUGACCCAGCGACGCCGCGUGGAGGAAGAAGUCCUUCGGGGCGUAAACUCCUGGACUGGGGGACGAGGAAGGACGGUACCCCAGUAGAAAGGGACGGCUAACUACGUGCCAGCAGCCGCGGUAAAACGUAGGUCCCGAGCGUUGUUCGGAUUCACUGGGUGUAAAGGGCGCGUAGGUGGUUGUCUGUGUCUCAUGUGAAAACUCAGGGCUCAACUCUGAGAUUGCGUGGGAAACUAGGCAGCUAGAGGACGGUAGAGGGGAGUGGAAUUCCCGGUGUAGCGGUAAAAUGCGUAGAUAUCGGGAGGAACACCGGUGGCGAAGGCGGCUCUCUGGGCCGAUCCUGACGCUGAGGCGCGAAAGCUAGGGGAGCGAACC